Molecule: ribosomal RNA, 422 nt
Filed under: uncultured bacterium
Lineage: Bacteria
Description: bacterial SSU rRNA
Rfam family: Bacterial small subunit ribosomal RNA
Source: RNAcentral
AUUGAACGCUGGCGGCAUGCUUUACACAUGCAAGUCGAACGGUAACAGGGACUUCGGUCUGCUGACGAGUGGCGAACGGGUGAGUAACAUAUCGGAACGUGCCCAGUAAUGGGGGAUAGCUCGGCGAAAGCCGGAUUAAUACCGCAUACGCCCUGAGGGGGAAAGUGGGGGAUCUUCGGACCUCACGUUAUUGGAGCGGCCGAUAUCAGAUUAGCUAGUUGGUGGGGUAAAGGCCUACCAAGGCGACGAUCUGUAGCUGGUCUGAGAGGAUGAUCAGCCACACUGGGACUGAGACACGGCCCAGACUCCUACGGGAGGCAGCAGUGGGGAAUUUUGGACAAUGGGCGAAAGCCUGAUCCAGCCAUGCCGCGUGAGUGAAGAAGGCCUCGGUUGUAAGACGUCUUCAGUGGAAGAAAGACGGA